This 72-nucleotide small RNA is filed under the name Staphylococcus auricularis. Lineage: Bacteria; Bacillati; Bacillota; Bacilli; Caryophanales; Staphylococcaceae. The record is from RNAcentral.
CUACAUACAACCGCUCAAUUUCAGGUUUAAGUACAUGAUAUGUCACCUGUUCUUGGCGUGACUUAAAUUAUA